RNAcentral lists this ribosomal RNA (497 nucleotides) under uncultured bacterium. Its description in RNAcentral is "partial 16S ribosomal RNA". It matches the Rfam family "Bacterial small subunit ribosomal RNA", at positions 28 to 507 of the family's 1533-position model. The record is from RNAcentral.
GAUGAACGCUGGCGGCGUGCCUAAUACAUGCAAGUCGAGCGAACAGAUAAGGAGCUUGCUCCUUUGACGUUAGCGGCGGACGGGUGAGUAACACGUGGAUAACCUACCUAUAAGACUGGGAUAACUUCGGGAAACCGGAGCUAAUACCGGAUAACAUAUUGAACCGCAUGGUUCAAUAGUGAAAGGCGGCUUUGCUGUCACUUAUAGAUGGAUCCGCGCCGUAUUAGCUAGUUGGUAAGGUAACGGCUUACCAAGGCAACGAUACGUAGCCGACCUGAGAGGGUGAUCGGCCACACUGGAACUGAGACACGGUCCAGACUCCUACGGGAGGCAGCAGUAGGGAAUAUUCCGCAAUGGGCGAAAGCCUGACGGAGCAACGCCGCGUGAGUGAUGAAGGUCUUCGGAUCGUAAAACUCUGUUAUCAGGGAAGAACAAAUGUGUAAGUAACUGUGCACAUCUUGACGGUACCUGAUCAGAAAGCCACGGCUAACUACGUG